This 491-nucleotide long non-coding RNA is filed under the name Cyanistes caeruleus (blue tit). RNAcentral describes it as "lncRNA (ENSCCEG00000016726.1)". Lineage: Eukaryota; Metazoa; Chordata; Aves; Passeriformes; Paridae. The record is from RNAcentral.
UCUUCUUCCUACCCACUCAAUGCUUUAUAAUGCAAUUAGAGAGCUCCUGGAGGCACUAAUUGGAUCAUAAAGUGCCUUCUUCAUGUUCCAGCUGAGGAGAGAGGAAAAAAGGAUCACUUCACGUCCUCUUUGCACCUGCUAAGAUACACCUUCUCAACUUCUCCUUGAAGAUUGUCAACAAAUUGUUGCUUCUCAUGAGAUUUUUGUUCCAUGAAAUUCUCUAUGGAAUGGCAAUGCAGAGGCCCCAAUAUUAAGAGUUUUUUUCAUGAAGACUGAGAAGCAUCUGAAGUUUGUCCUUUCCUGAAGUUGGAAGGAGUCUCUCUGGUGGAUAAAAGGCAUUCCUUGUCACUCUAUAAAUUGCAACUAUUGUUUAGCUGAAGUCUAUUACUUUGAUUUUGGAUAAUAGAGGGCAGGCAAGCAACUGAUGAUUAAAGGAGCUAGACAUGAUUAGAGAAAAAAAAAAUCAAUAAAUGUAUAAACAAAAAGUGGUU